CCCUUAGAUGUUCUGGGCUGCACGCGCGCUACACUGAUGCACUCAACGAGUUUACGACCUUGCCCGAUAGGGUUGGGUAAUCUUUUUAAAAUGCAUCGUGAUGGGGAUAGAUUAUUGCAAUUAUUAAUCUUCAACGAGGAAUUCCUAGUAAGCGCGAGUCAUCAGCUCGUGCUGAUUACGUCCCUGCCCUUUGUACACACCGCCCGUCGCUCCUACCGAUUGAGUGCUCAGGUGAAUAAUUCGGACUGCAGCAAUGUUUGGAUCCCGAACGUUGCAGCGGAAAGUUUAGUGAACCUUAUCACUUAGAGGAAGGAGAGGUCGUAACA
This 326-nucleotide ribosomal RNA is filed under the name uncultured eukaryote. RNAcentral's name for it is "partial 18S ribosomal RNA". It matches the Rfam family "Eukaryotic small subunit ribosomal RNA", at positions 1470 to 1796 of the family's 1831-position model. The record is from RNAcentral.